This 468-nucleotide ribosomal RNA is filed under the name uncultured bacterium. Its description in RNAcentral is "partial 16S ribosomal RNA". It matches the Rfam family "Bacterial small subunit ribosomal RNA", at positions 28 to 507 of the family's 1533-position model. The record is from RNAcentral.
GACGAACGCUGGCGGCGUGCUUAACACAUGCAAGUCGAACGGAAAGGCCCUGCUUUUGUGGGGUGCUCGAGUGGCGAACGGGUGAGUAACACGUGAGUAACCUGCCCUUGACUUUGGGAUAACUUCAGGAAACUGGGGCUAAUACCGGAUAGGAGCUCCUGCUGCAUGGUGGGGGUUGGAAAGUUUCGGCGGUUGGGGAUGGACUCGCGGCUUAUCAGCUUGUUGGUGGGGUAGUGGCUUACCAAGGCUUUGACGGGUAGCCGGCCUGAGAGGGUGACCGGCCACAUUGGGACUGAGAUACGGCCCAGACUCCUACGGGAGGCAGCAGUGGGGAAUAUUGCACAGUGGGCGGAAGCCUGAUGCAGCAACGCCGCGUGCGGGAUGACGGCCUUCGGGUUGUAAACCGCUUUCGACUGUGACGAAGCGUGAGUGACGGUAAUGGGUAAAGAAGCACCGGCUAACUACGUG